Vicia villosa (hairy vetch) is the source of this 892-nucleotide long non-coding RNA. RefSeq lists it as uncharacterized. Lineage: Eukaryota; Viridiplantae; Streptophyta; Magnoliopsida; Fabales; Fabaceae. The record is from RefSeq and is a predicted model, not a curated record. The transcript has 3 exons.
UAUGCACCAAUUGUCAACCUCUAAUUGGUCCUAAUUAAAAAACUUAUCUUAGCAUCUCCCUUCACCUUUUUUUCCCUCCGUUGUUUUCAUUUUGAAACAUAUUCCUCUCUCUUCCUCAUUUUACUUCUUUUCAUCAACUAUCUUCAUCUUCUCUCUCUUUCUCCUUAAACCCUACAUCCGCCGCCGCCUCUUUCUCCUCCGUAUCUACGACUACUACCACCUCCAACAGAAAUACCAAAACCAUUUUUGUACUCCUCAUCUUGCAGCCUUUCUUAUGAGCAUGUUGCAUUUUUGUUUCAAGCAACCUCAUCUUCGACCACUGCUUCCCCUUCUCUCACUGUCAUAACCAUUACCAUCUUUUCUUGCCCUAUUUUUUACUAGAUGUUAUAUAGAUGACUUUGUUACCCAUAUUUAAUGUUGUUUCUAUUUUCUUCAAUUUUUUAGGGCUUUUACUUCAACAUUUAUGAAUCUUUAGCGAUUGGAGUUAGAGCAACCAGGGAUGAAAUAGGUGAUGAAUGAACCGUUUGGAUUUCAUAUUUUUGACAUAUGUAAGGUCAGGCAAUUGCAAUUAGCACUACUAUGAAACAAAGCACAACAUGAACAAAUAUUUUAACAUAUCCAGUUCAGUUGCAAUCAUGGAUAUUAAAAUCAGUUCAAUCAAAGAUUUUGCAGAGCACUAAUGUGUGUGUGAGAGAGAGAACUACUGAAUACUAAUGCUACUUGCUGUUGAUUUAAGUUUUUUUUAACAUUAAAAGUAUUCAUUGUAUUUAAUUCCAACACAAAUUAUGUAAAGUUGACUGUAUAAAAUAUUCAUUGGCAAUAUAUUAUAAAAUAUAUUCAUUGGUAAUAUAUUAUAAAGUAUUCAUUGACAGUAUAUUCAUUGUAUCAUAAA